This 329-nucleotide ribosomal RNA is filed under the name uncultured eukaryote. RNAcentral's name for it is "partial 18S ribosomal RNA". It matches the Rfam family "Eukaryotic small subunit ribosomal RNA", at positions 1470 to 1796 of the family's 1831-position model. The record is from RNAcentral.
CCCUUAGAUGUUCUGGGCCGCACGCGCGCCACACUGAUGCAUUCAACGAGUCUAAAACCUGCUCUGAUAGGGGUGGGUAAUCUUUUGAAUGUGCAUCGUGAUUGGGAUAGAUGAUUGCAAUUUUUCAUCUUCAACGAGGAAUGCCUAGUAAACGCAAGUCAUCAGCUUGCAUUGAUUACGUCCCUGCCCUUUGUACACACCGCCCGUCGCUCCUACCGAUUGAAUGAUCCGAUGAAUAUCAUGGAUUGAGGAUUAUAGCAGGUUCGCCUGUCUUGAUCUUCGAGAAGUGAAGUAAAUCUUAUCAUUUAGAGGAAGGAGAAGUCGUAACA